UUAAAGCAGUUUGCUGAGUUUGCCAAUGAGACAGAGUCCAAGUGACUCUGUGCAGCUCCCACCCUCACGGUCCACAUUUUCAGAUUCAAGCCUGUGGUGCACAUGAGGGACAUUCACAGAAGCAAUGCCAUGGUGCCUGCUCCACUUAAUUACCAAUGGAUCUGAAAAGGGGAGACACUUGGAUAAUUUCGAGUAGACAUCUGAAAAGAGCUGCAGACUACAUGGACUUUAAUUUGAGCCUUGCCAAUUACAACAUCAGUCAGAUGUGCAACUUUACCAGAUCUUUUACUGAAUAAUAAAGAUGUAUGUUGGGAAAGAAUGGGAACCAGAAAACAGAAAGGAAAAUUCAGGGUGGAGAUGCCCCUUAAGCAGCAAGAAACCUGGGAUGAGGAUUUAGCGGAGAAGUACAGCCUGCAGGAGCAGGCGUGGGAGCCAUUGUAGGAGUGCUAGUUGAAGCCAGAAGCCUGGAUACAGUCUGAUGAUGACGAUGAUGACCAUGACGAGUACUGAGCAGUAGUAACGACUAAUACCAAGCAUAGACGAUGUCCCGGGUGACACAUGACGUUCAGAUGUUUGAUUUGAUGAUUUCCCAAACCCAAACAAGGUAAAUGUCAUUCCU
Molecule: non-coding RNA, 619 nt
Organism: Vicugna pacos (alpaca)
Lineage: Eukaryota; Metazoa; Chordata; Mammalia; Artiodactyla; Camelidae
Source: RefSeq, a predicted model, not a curated record